CAUGGUAGAUAUAUCAAAGAUUUAUCGCUUAGAGAUGGACUCGCGUCCGAUUAGUUAGUUGGUGAGGUAACGGCUCACCAAGACCGCGAUCGGUAGCCGGACUGAGAGGUUGAACGGCCACAUUGGGACUGAGACACGGCCCAGACUCCUACGGGAGGCAGCAGUGGGGGAUAUUGCGCAAUGGGGGAAACCCUGACGCAGCAACGCCGCGUGAAGGAUGAAGGUCUUCGGAUUGUAAACUUCUUUUAUUAAGGACGAAGAAAGUGACGGUACUUAAUGAAUAAGCUCCGGCUAACUACGUGCCAGCAGCCGCGGUAAUACGUAGGGAGCAAGCGUUGUCCGGAUUUACUGGGUGUAAAGGGUGCGUAGGCGGCUUUGCAAGUCAGAUGUGAAAUCUAUGGGCUCAACCCAUAGCCUGCAUUUGAAACUGCAGAGCUUGAGUGAAGUAGAGGCAGGCGGAAUUCCCCGUGUAGCGGUGAAAUGCGUAGAGAUGGGGAGGAACACCAGUGGCGAAGGCGGCCUGCUGGGCUUUAACUGACGCUGAGGCACGAAAGCGUGGGUAGCAAACAGGAUUAGAUACCCUGGUAGUCCACGCUGUAAACGAUGAAUACGAGGUGUGGGGGGUCUGACCCCUUCCGUGCCGGAG
Molecule: ribosomal RNA, 646 nt
Filed under: uncultured bacterium
Lineage: Bacteria
Description: bacterial SSU rRNA
Rfam family: Bacterial small subunit ribosomal RNA
Source: RNAcentral